AACUCACAAACCCACGCACGGUUGGUAAAACCGCAUUCCUUCUGCACACCGGAGCUUCUGCCGCCUUCUGCACACUGGAGCUUCUGCCGCCUUCUACACACCGGGACUCUUACCGCCACGCCGUAGCGAUCAUAUCCACGGCUGGUAAUUUUUUUUUGCUUUUUGUUUUUUCUUUGAAUUUCUGGGUUCACGAUUGUAAAGCAAUAGUUUUUCAAUUUAUGGGUUGUUCUUGUUCUUGUUCAUGUUCUUGUUUCUUUUUCUUUUUCUUGUUCUUUGAUUUCUAGGUUGUUUUUAUCCUUUCAAUUUUUGGGUUAUAGAUUAAACCCACAACUGGUAAUCUUUGUGAAAUUUAUGUGAUUGAUUUUGUGAAAUUUAUGCAAUUUAGAUCAUUUUGAGAGUAAUUUGAUUGGAAAAACUGUUAGGGUUUAUGUUUAGGGUCUGUGUUUAACUCAAAUGAGAUUUUAUUUGUUUAGGGCCUUUAAUGGUCUUGUGUUUGUGAUGGAAUCAUUCUUGUUGUUCUGCGGUAUGGUUUACUGAUAACUUCAUUGCUUGCUCCAUUUUUAUUGCUUUUUGUUUGCUGAACAUUUCAGUCUCUAAUGUCCUAAUUGAAUUGUGCUACCUUAAUUUCAUAUCAUAUUAAUUAGGAUUUGGAUUGUUGAAUGGCAGUGGAAUAGAAUACAGUUUUCAAUUAGGUUUUCCUCUGGUAUUGUUUGCCUCAAAAUCUAAUCCGUGAAACUGAAUAGCAAAGAUGAUGAUAACCUUGUACUUGUACUUAUGUGUAGAUACGAUGUGGGCAUGUAUCAUUGUAGCUUGUUCUUGUACUUAUGUCCUUUUCUACUUGCGUGGUUAUUAAAUAUGUAUAUUUUGUUUACACUUUCCUUCAUUGUCAUGGAAAUAGGGAGUUUUUGUUACAAAUUCACGAACUCUGGUUUUGGCAACUACUUUUUUUGUUGUUAAAAACGACUUUUCUUGUAGUGUCGAUUGUCAACUUUCUUGAGGUAAGAUUCUUUAAUUGUCCAUGAAUUGUUCAAUUCAAAGCAAGAAUUCUGGCAUCGGUUAUUUAUAUCAAUUGUUUUUUCAAUCUGUACAAUAUGAAUUGUUCAAGUUUAUUUAUUGAAUUGUUUGUUCUAGCCUAAUUAUAACAUGCCAUAACUUAGCAGCUAGUAUUGCCUAGCUAAUGACCGACAUGAUAACAAAGUAGUCAUAUGCCUUUUCUUUGUUAAUUAAUUCUUCUUGUAGUUUAUAUGAAUGCAUGAGAUAAUCAUGGAAUAUUUUUCUUUUCCUUUACAUUGUGUUUAAUUUUUUGCUGCAUAGAAAUGGAUCGUAGUUGGAUAUCAACAACAAAGCCGGGUGACCCUAAAUAUCUAGCGGGUGUUACACAAUUUGUAAACUUUGCUGUUAAGAAUAGUCAAUUGGGUUCUAAAUUACCCUGUCCGUGUUAUAUGUGUCAUAACUUAAUGCAUCAUAGAGUUGAUGAAAUUCUCAAACAAUUAAAUAAAUGGGCAUUUGAUAGAACAUAUACCCGUUGGAUAUGUCAUGGUGAACAAAAGGAAAUAUCUUCAACAAGUAGUAGUACUAGACAUGAUGUGCCAGAAGAUUAUAUGGAUGAGGGUGAUAGACUAGAUGACCUGUUACAUGAAGCUGCUAGUAGUGCUCCUGAAAAACCAGAAAUAUUUGAGAGUUUGGUUCAUGAUUCUGAAACACCCCUGUAUGCUGGCGGUAAGCAUUAAAAACUAUCUAGUGUACUUAGGGUAUAUAAUAUGAAAGCAAGAAAUGGUUGAAGUGAUAAGAGUUUUACUCAACUACUUGAAUUUUUGAAAGAGUUACUUCUUGAUGAUAAUGUCCUUCCUAAGGGAACUUAUGAGGCGAAAACAAUAUUAUGCAAAAUGGGUUUGCAAUAUGAAAAAAUACAUGCUUGUCCUAAAGAUUGCAUAUUAUUUAGAAAUGAGCAUGAAUCGUUGAAGACUUGCCCGGUAUGCAAUGCCUCACGGUACAAGAAAAAGGAAGGAGUGCCAGCUAAGGUUUUAUGGUACUUUCCAAUCAUGCCAAGAUUUAAAACACUAUUCUCAAAUGCAGAGGAUGCUAAAAAUUUGACAUGGCAUAAGAAUGGUCGACUUGAUGAUGGGAAACUUAGGCACCCAGCCGACUCCCCUCAAUGGAGGUUAAUUGAUGAUAAAUUUAAGAACUUUAAGAAAGAAGAACGUAACCUACGCCUAGCCUUGUCUACUGAUGGUAUGAAUCCGUUUGGCUCUCUAAGCAGCACCCAUAGUACUUGGCCGGUAAUUUUAGUGACUUACAACUUACCUCCUGAGUUGUGCAUGAAAGGAAAGUAAAUGAUGUUGUCAAUGAUAAUUUCUGGGCCAAAGCAACCAGGAAAUGACAUCGAUGUUUACCUAACUCCUCUAGUUGAGGAUUUGAUAUUGUUGUGGGAAAAAGGUGUAGACGUUUAUGAUGCACAUCGAAAUAAAAAUUUCAAUUUGCGGGCAUUAUUGUUCACUAACAUUAAAGAUUAUCCAGCUUAUGGCAAUCUCUCAGGAUAUACGGUCAAAAGGAAAAACAACUUGCCCUAUAUGUGAGGAUGGUACCGAAGGGAAGUGGUUAUCAACAUCUGGUAAAAUGGUUUUUAUGGAAUAUUGUCACUACCUUCCAAAAGAUCAUCCUUAUCGUAAGCAAAAAAAGGUUUUUAAUGGAGAACAAGUAUUUGAGAAACGUCCAAAGAUCUUGAUUGGUGAACAAGUGUUUGAAAAGGUGAAAGACAUCCAAAUUACAUUUGGUAAGAAAAAGGAACACAAAGAUGCAAUUCCUUCGAAGGGGUACAAGAAGUUUUCAAUAUUAUGGCGUCUACCUUAUUGGAUAUUCCUCUUUGUGAGGCAUUUUCUUGAUGUGAUGCACAUUGAGAAGAAUGUGUGUGAUAGUGUAAUUGGUACUUUGUUGAACAUCCCCGGUAAGACAAAAGACGGAGUUAAAGCUAGAGUAGACUUGAAGGAACUUGGAAUUAGAGAAGAACUCCAUGUCGUUGAGGUGAAUAAUAAGAAAAGAAAAUAUCUACCUCCGGCAGCUCAUACGUUAUCUAGAAAAGAGAAAAUUGAAUUUUGUGAAAGUUGGCCGGAGUUAAAGUUCCCGAGGGUUAUUCUUCUAAUAUUCGUAACCUUGUGUCAAUGGAAAAUUUGAUGCUUGUGGGUCUUAUGUCUCAUAAUUGUCAUGUUUUGAUGCAACAUCUUUUACCAGUGGCCAUUCGUUCUAUUUUACCUAAAAAAGUUCGUUAUGCGAUCAUUAGGCUUUGUUCUUUUUUCAAUUUUAUAUACAAUAAGGUAAUUGAUCUUACUGACUUGGAUAUUUGGGAGAAGGAGAUUGUCAUUAUUCUUUGCCAAUUACAAAUGUACUUUCCUCCAUCUUUCUUUGAUGUUAUGGUUCAUCUAACUGUUCACUUAGUUAUGGAGAUAAAACUUUGUGGUCAAGUGUAUUUAAGAAAUCAGUGGGCUUUUGAAAGACAAAUGAAAACAUACAUGGGAUAUGUAAAGAAUGCUUAUCGACCUAAAGCAUGCAUUGCCGAGCGACAUCUUUAUGAUGAUGUGAUGGCAUAUUGCAACAAAUAUUUGAAGAAUGUGAAGAUGGUCGGGAUUCCUGAGUCUCGACAUUGUGGAUGACUUGAUGGGAAAGAGACUAUAGGUAUGACACAACUCGAUAUGUCUCCUGAUAAACUGCAUAUGGCACAUACAUAUAUUCUCCAUAAUGAAGAUGAAGUGGUACCAUAUAUUGGAAAACACAUGGCUCACUUGAGAAAGAAUCGACGUAAGGUAGCUGAAAAGGCUUUAACCAUUGAGCAUAAUAAAACAUUUUCUAAAUGGUUUAAAGAUCAAGUGAUGAAUGAACUCAAGGAUUCCUUAAACUCUAUUUCCAAUCGACUCAAGAGUUUAGCAUAUGGACCACAUUUCAAUUCCUCCUUUUAUGCAGCAUAUGUUAUUAAUGGCUGCACAUUCUACACUAGAUCCCAAGAUGAAAUCAGUACUAUGCAAAAUAGUGGGGUGACUGUUGAAGCUGAAGCUAUGCAUUUUUCUAGUGCUAAAGACAAACGCCCAAUCUACAGCAAGAUGCAAUAUUAUGGAGUAAUUGAAGAGAUAUGAGAGCUGCAUUACUUUGAUUUUUCAGUUCCUCUUUUUGGGUGCAAUUGGGUUGACAACAAGAGCGCUGUAACAGAUGAUGUAGGUUGUACAUUGGUUAAUUUAAGCAAAAUUGGUCAUAAGGAAGAUCCGUUCGUACUAGCAAGUCAAGUAAAACAAGUGUUUUAUAUGACGGACCCAAGUGACAAAAGGAUGUCUGCGGUUAUAACACCAAGGUCUAUACGGGAAGACCAUGACGAAGGGAUUUGGGUUGAAGAAAAAAGCAUUGAGGGAAAAUCCCAAAAGCGUCGUCAUACAUCAAAAACUUAAGAAGAUUGAGGUUUGUUUUAUUAAUUAGAAUUUUAUUGGUUACAUAUACACUCAAUGGUAUACCUAUUUUUAUUUUUAAGUCCUUAAUGUUUUUUACCCGAAUUCUAUCAAAUCGUUUUACUCUGUGUAGGCUAAUGGCAAAUAAGAAGAAAUCUAUACCUGCUAAGCGAGUACGUGAUGAUGAAACAACUGAUGAGAGUGAUAGUGAUGAUGGUGAUCACAAGGGUCGUACUGUACUUGCAAAGGUUGGGAAGGCUAUUCAUGAAGGCCAGAAAAUCAAGUUGGAAUGGACUAAGAAACCUGAAAUUCCAUGUGGUGAACACAAAACUACCUUCUGCUCAUACAUAGGUAUUAUUGCUCGUGAAAGAGUCAAUAUUAAUUACAAGCACUGGUCUGAUCUUCCAGAACAACUCCUUGACGAAGUGUAUGAAUUCAUAGCUAAGGGAUUUGUGGUACUCAAACAUCGUAAAAAUUGGAAUUUGUCACGAGUUGAAACUCGUUGGAGAGCUUAGAAAGCUAAAUUAAGGAAGAUUAGUUGUAUAGAUCUACAGGCAACAUAAGAGAAAAGCCACCAAAGGCUUAUCCGUGGAUACUUCAAAUAGAUUGGGACAAAUUCAUCAAGUAUUGUACAUCCAAGGAGUUCAAGCAAUUGAGCGAAACUAAUAGAAAAAAGGCAAAUUUGAAGACAUCUGGCUAUCGAGGAGGGUGACUUGGGUGUCAACAUUUUGAGAAAGAGCUUGAAAAAGAGCUAGAUGAACAAGGGGUUCAUCUUGAUCAAGUUCCUAGGCAUUAGACUUGGAUAAGAGCUCAUUCUCAUGUGAAAGACGGAGGUAUUACCUUGAAGAAUCGAUCCGAUUUAGCAAUUGCUAAGGAAUUUCAAGCAUUGGAAGCUCAACAAAAUAACGGAGAGAUAGUUGCUGAAGGAAGAAAUGACAUUUUAGCAAAAGUUAUUACGAAAAAAGAGCAUGGUGGUUGUGUAAGAGCCGUUGGAUCAGGCAUAACAAAUAAGGAGUACUUUGGCUUCAACAAACUAGCACCACCUAAAGAAUUACACUCUGUAAUCAAUUGUAUACACACAAAAACGAUGGGCAUGGAGAAAAAGCAGAAUUAUAUGAUGUCUUUUAUAAUGACGUGCUGUCAAUUGAAUCAGGAGCAAUUGUGUGACUUCAUGAAAACAUUUAGUGAUUGUGUUGGCCAGGGAAUGGGUGGUGGUAGGAUUUUGGGUCUAAUUCCUAUCUUAGUGAUUCUACUGGACAAAAAGAAAAAAGUGGUAAUGGUGGAAAAGGAUCAAGUUUUAUGCCAUUUGCAAGUUUAGGAGUUCAAGAUGUGCAAUUUGAACUUGUGACUAGUAGUGGUGGUGACAUUGUUGACAAUGAAGCAAGGAAAGAAUUUAUUACAAAUGAAGAGCAUGAUAAUAGUGAGGAGCAUGGAUUUGAAAAGGAAUAGGUUCAUGAACCAGGUAUAAAAGAUCGUCAUACUAACAUUGAUGAUUGUGAACCAUAUGCUGUUCAAUUGCCUGAUUCCGAAGCGCAACCCACACCUUACAAUUUUCAAACUUCUCCUUUUAUUGAGUUAUAUCAUUAUCAUGAGAGUUUUACUUAGAUUAAAUAAAUAUGUUACUUUGUAUUAUAAUGAUAGAUUAAAUUUUUAAUAAUUUUAAACUACUAAUUUUAUAUGAUUAUAAAUGUUUCAUGAUGAAUAGGGAUGGAAUGAUUGUUACUUGGGGCUAGAGGGAGAUAAAGGGAUAGAUAUUGUUGCCAUGGUACAGGUUUAUAUAACGAAAGCAACAGAAAUUGUGAAGAAUCAUGGGGCCCCUAUGCCAAGUGGUCGUUAUCGAGUCAAUAUUCAGACGGAUAUCAAGCCUAGAGCACUUUUGCCAUAUCCUAAUGCGGAAAUGACACUAGUUUGUCAAGCUUAGAAAUCUUUUAUUCCUUGGCCGUGUCACUUCAUUUUCCCAUUUCCCAGUGAUGCACAGAAGCAAGAUGCAAACAAUUCCAUCUCAGCAUCUCAAAAUUCACCUUCAUCCUAUUUUCAAACUAAGGACGCAUCUGCAUAGCAAGAUGAUGGAAACAAACUCAUCUCACCAUCUCCGAAAUCACCUUCAUCAAUUUCAUCAUCAAAUCAGAAGUACCAAAUCACUGAUAAAGAUCGUGCCAAGCUGACCACAAACAUGGUAAAAAGUUUUAAGUUUGAAGAUUUAGCAAUGAGAAAAAGUGAAGAACAAAUCACUAUAGAAAUACCACACUUUGUGUUCCGCAAUAAGCAUACUGUUGACAUUGAUUACAUAGACAUGCUUGAUUGGUGUUAUCAACAAGAAGUAGGAGUAGCGCACCUUUCAAUUUUUAUGAAGUCAGUAACUUAAAACUCCAUUUUUUUUCUUUUUUAUUUUUAAAGUUAUAAUUUAUUUAUUAAUUUAUUUUUCUUAUGAUUUGCAAGGUAUUUGAGUGAAUCAUGUCAAGAAGAAGGUAUCUUCGGAAUGUAUGAUUUUUGUGAUGCUAAUAUGCUUUCUCCAUUAUCAUCAAUAGAGAAAGAAGAGGAUCGAUCUAACUACUUGGCUAGCAUUUCGCAUGUAAUAAUGCUAAGAACAAAAACCAAUUAUUCAUGGCACCUUAUUACGACAAGUAAGUGACAAAAUUUUUGUUGUGAUUGUCUUAUAUUAUUAUAAUAAUGUUUUUUUUUCAUCAAAAGAAUCCCCUUUAGUGAUAUUGAUUUGCAUGUAUGAAUGCUAUCUUUGUGUAGUCGGCAUUGGAUGUUAGCAAUUAUUAGUCCAUGGAAGGGAUUGGUUUAUUGGUUAGAUCCUGCUAGUGUGGAAAAUAAAGUGCGUGAAAAUGCUCGUAAAAUUAUUUAUGAGGGGCUUGUGAAAUUUAGCAUGGUCCAUCGAAAGGAUCUCAAAAGAGAUUAAAAAGAAUCCUAAAGUUGGUUGGAACAAACUAAAAUGUCCUCGCCAACCUCAAGACGCCAAAUACUGUGGAUAUUAUGUAUGCCGUUAUAUGCUUGAGACUAGUGAAAGUAGGAAACAAUUGAUUUUGGAGGAGUUUUCCCCUAGGGCUCCUUCAACUUAUUCUCAGGAGAGCAUUGAUCAUGUUUGAGAUUUAUGGAUUUCUUACGUUGUCAAACAUAGGCAACAAAAAUUGGAGAAGGAAGCAGAAGAUUUGGAUGAUGUGUUAUAAGAUCAUAUCGAUGGAAAUUAUUAAAGAUUAGAAUUCAUGAAGAAUUUUGAUGACAUUUGACUUUUGGAAUAAGAUAAUUGUAUAGUUGAAUUCUAGUCUAAUUAUAUGAUGAAAUGGUUUAUAAUUAUAUG
Amaranthus tricolor (Joseph's coat) is the source of this 7731-nucleotide long non-coding RNA. RefSeq lists it as uncharacterized. The transcript is spliced from 9 exons. The record is from RefSeq and is a predicted model, not a curated record. Lineage: Eukaryota; Viridiplantae; Streptophyta; Magnoliopsida; Caryophyllales; Amaranthaceae.